CCUUCGGGUUUUAGUGGCGAACGGGUGAGUAACACGUAAGCAACCUACCCUAAAGACGAGGAUAACCAUUGGAAACAGUGGCUAAGACUGGAUAGGAAGAAAUAAGGCAUCUUAUUUCUUUUAAAAGACCUAGUAAUAGGUAUACUUUAGGAGGGGCUUGCGCCAUAUUAGUUAGUUGGUAGGGUAAUGGCCUACCAAGACGAUGAUGUGUAGCUGGACUGAGAGGUUGAACAGCCACAUUGGGACUGAGACACGGCCCAAACUCCUACGGGAGGCAGCAGUAAGGAAUUUUCGGCAAUGGAGGAAACUCUGACCGAGCAACGCCGCGUGAACGACGAAGUACUUUGGUAUGUAAAGUUCUUUUAUCAAGGAAGAAAAGCAAGUGGCGAACCAUUUGUUUGCCGGUACUUGAUGAAUAAGCCCCGGCUAAUUAUGUGCCAGCAGCCGCGGUAAGACAUAAGGGGCAAGUGUUAUCCGGAAUUAUUGGGCGUAAAGGGUGCGUAGGCGGUCUAGUAAGUCAGUGGUGUAAUGGCAACGCUCAACGUUGUCCGGCUAUUGAAACUGCUAAACUUGAGUUAGAUAGAGGCGAGUGGAAUUCCAUGUGUAGCGGUAAAAUGCGUAAAUAUAUGGAGGAACACCAGAGGCGUAGGCGGCUCGCUGGGUCUUAACUGACGCUGAGGCACGAAAGCGUGGGGAGCAAACAGGAUUAGAUACCCUGGUAGUCCACGCUGUAAACGAUGAGUACUAAGUGUCGGGUUAAACCGGUACUGAAGUUAACACAUUAAGUACUCCGCCUGAGUAGUACGUACGCAAGUAUGAAACUUAAAGGAAUUGACGGGACUCCGCACAAGCGGUGGAUCAUGUUGUUUAAUUCGAAGAUACCCGAAAAACCUUACCAGGUCUUGACAUGUUUUUGCGAAACGGUAGUAAUAUCGUAGAGGUUAUCAGAAACACAGGUGGUGCAUGGUUGUCGUCAGCUCGUGUCGUGAGAUGUUAGGUUAAGUCCUAAAACGAGCGAAACCCUUAUCGUUAGUUGCCAGCACGUUAUGGUGGGGACUUUAACGAGACUGCCAGUGAUAAACUGGAGGAAGGUGAGGAUCACGUCAAAUCAGCAUGCCCCUUAUGACCUGGGCUACAAACGUGAUACAAUGGCUGUUACAAAGGGUAGCUGAAACGUAAGUUCUUGGCCAAUCCCCAAAAACAGUCUCAGUCCGGAUUGAAGUCUGCAACUCGACUUCAUGAAGUUGGAAUCGCUAGUAAUCGCGAAUCAGCAUGUCGCGGUGAAUACGUUCUCGGGGUUUGUACACACCGCCCGUCAAACCACGAAAGUUGGCAAUACCCCAAAAUGGUAGCCUAACUCGUUUAUUCGAGAGGGCGCU
RNAcentral lists this ribosomal RNA (1379 nucleotides) under Candidatus Phytoplasma citri. RNAcentral describes it as "bacterial SSU rRNA". It matches the Rfam family "Bacterial small subunit ribosomal RNA", at positions 77 to 1454 of the family's 1533-position model. The record is from RNAcentral. Lineage: Bacteria; Bacillati; Mycoplasmatota; Mollicutes; Acholeplasmatales; Acholeplasmataceae.